Molecule: ribosomal RNA, 268 nt
Filed under: uncultured bacterium
Lineage: Bacteria
Description: partial 16S ribosomal RNA
Rfam family: Bacterial small subunit ribosomal RNA
Source: RNAcentral
GUCCACGCUGUAAACGAUAACCACUAGACGUCAGUCCGGCUUUGCUGGAUUGGUGUCGAAGCUAACGCGUUAAGUGGUUCGCCUGAGUAGUACGAUCGCAAGAUUAAAACUCAAAGGAAUUGACGGGGUCGCACAAGCGGUGGAACAUGUGGUUUAAUUCGACACUACGCGAGGAACCUUACCUGGGCUUGACAUGUACUUGACCGCCGUAGAAAUACGGUUUUCUAAGUUUACUUAGACGGGUACACAGGUGCUGCAUGGCUGUCGU